AGGUUUCUCUCAUCUUGUGCUGUUUGACUGAACCCAUUUGCUUUUGAAGGAUGAUGAAUAGUGAGGACAAUCAUGGAGAUUUGAGAAGUGACUGUGGUUUUUACCUAUUUACAGUGGAGGACAAUUUUACUGACAUUUUAUAUGAUUGCAGUUUUAGUCUUAGAAUAGCAUCGAGAAGAUACGAGUUUUCUCUGGUAAUGUUUUUUGCUACUGACGAGAUCAACAAGAAUCCUUAUCUUUUACCCAACACGUCUUUGCUAUUCUCCUUCAUGGAUGGCCUGUGUGAAGAUAAAUUGGGACUCUGGGUAGCCACCAAGGACACACGUUUGUCCCAUGGCAUGGUCUCCGUGAUGCUUCGUUUUAGAUGAACUUGGAUAGGACAGGUCAUCUCAGAUGAUGACCAGGGUAUUCAGUUUCUCUCAGACUCAACAGAAGAAAUGCAAAGACAUGGGAUCUGUUUAGCUUUGUGAAUGUGAUCCCAGAAAACAUGCACAUAUAUGUGACAAGGGCUAAGACAUAUGAUAAGCAAAUUAUGACAUCAUCAGCAAAAGUUAUUAUCCUUUAUGGUGAAAUGAACUCAACUCUAGAAGUCAGCUUUAGAAGAUGGGAAUAUUUAAGUGCACGGAGAAUUUGAAUCACAACCUCACAAUGGGAUGUCAUCACAAUUAAAAGAGAUUUCGCCUUGAUUUCUUCAUGGGACUGUCACUUUUGCACACCACAAAGGUGAGAUUGCUAAAUUUAGGAAUUUUUUGCAAACAAUGAAAACCAACAAAUACCAGUAAACAUUUCUGAGUCUAUACUGGAGUGGAAUUAUUUUAAUUGUUCAGUCUCUAAGAACAGCAAUAAAAUUGAUCAUUUUACAUUCAACAACACAUCGGAAUGGACAGCAUUGCACAAAUGUGACAUGGCCCUAAGUGAAGAAGGUUACAGUCUGUAUAAUGUUGUCCAUGUUGUGGUCCACACCUACCAUGACUUCAACAAGUAGAGUCUCAGAAAAUAGCAGAACCCAAAGGAUUAUUCACUGACGGUCAGCAGAUGGUUUCCUUGCUGAAAGCCCAGGUAUUUACUAACCCUGUUGGAGAACUGGUGAACGUGAAUCAUAGGGAAUAUCAGUGUGUAGAGUAUGACAUUUGUACCAUUUGGAAUUUUCCACAAGGCCUUGGAUUAAAAGUAAAAAUAGGAAGAUAUUUUCCUUGUUUCCCA
RNAcentral lists this long non-coding RNA (1203 nucleotides) under Mus musculus (house mouse). RNAcentral describes it as "predicted gene, 58409". The record is from RNAcentral. Lineage: Eukaryota; Metazoa; Chordata; Mammalia; Rodentia; Muridae.